GAUGAAGAACGCAGCAAAAUGCGAUAAGUAAUGCGAAUUGCAGAAUUCAGUGAAUCAUCGAAUCUUUGAACGCACAUUGCGCCCGCCAGUAUUCUGGCGGGCAUGCCUGUUCGAGCGUCAUUUCAACCCUCAAGCACAGCUUGGUGUUGGGACUCGCGUUAAUUCGCGUUCCCCAAAUUGAUUGGCGGUCACGUCGAGCUUCCAUAGCGUAGUAGUAAAACCCUCGUUACUGGUAAUCGUCGCGGCCACGCCGUUAAACCCCAACUUCUGAAUGUUGACCUCGGAUCAGGUAGGAAUACCCGCUGAACUUAAGCAUAUCAAUAAGCGGAGGA
Molecule: unclassified non-coding RNA, 332 nt
Filed under: soil metagenome
Description: partial contains 5.8S ribosomal RNA, internal transcribed spacer 2, and large subunit ribosomal RNA
Rfam family: 5.8S ribosomal RNA (bases 1-120)
Source: RNAcentral